RNAcentral lists this ribosomal RNA (437 nucleotides) under uncultured bacterium. Its description in RNAcentral is "bacterial SSU rRNA". It matches the Rfam family "Bacterial small subunit ribosomal RNA", at positions 340 to 789 of the family's 1533-position model. The record is from RNAcentral.
UACGGAAGGCAGCAGUGGGGAAUAUUGGACAAUGGGCGAAAGCCUGAUCCAGCCAUGCCGCAUGAGUGAAGAAAGGCCUUCGGGUUGUAAAGCUCUUUUAGUGAGAAAGAUAAUGACGGUACUCACAGAAGAAGUCCUGGCUAACUCCGUGCCAGCAGCCGCGGUAAUACGGAGAGGGCUAGCGUUAUUCGGAAUUAUUGGGCGUAAAGAGCGCGUAGGCUGAUUAGUAAGUUAAAAGUGAAAUCCCAAAGCUUAACUUUGGAAUUGCUUUUUAAAACUGCUAGUCUAGAGAUUGAAAGAGGAUAGAGGAAUUCCUAGUGUAGAGGUGAAAUUCGUAAAUAUUAGGAGGAACACCAGUGGCGAAGGCGUCUAUCUGGUUCAAAUCUGACGCUGAGGCGCGAAGGGCGUGGGGAGCAAACGAGGGAUUAGAUACCCGU